Molecule: small nucleolar RNA, 106 nt
Organism: Dioscorea cayenensis subsp. rotundata (Guinea yam)
Lineage: Eukaryota; Viridiplantae; Streptophyta; Magnoliopsida; Dioscoreales; Dioscoreaceae
Source: RefSeq, a predicted model, not a curated record
AACCCAUGUUGAGGAUAUUUCCACAAGAGAUCCUUGAAUUGUUCCCAUGUUUGAAAUAACAAUUUUAUCUCUAUCUGAACAUAUGAAGAGAUCUCAUUUUGAAGCU